CACAGUGGUGUCAGGUAAUCUCAUCAUUGGGUGUUCCGAUGUGUAUGCUUUGAUGGACCCCGAUGCUUCUCACUCUUUUAUUGCUUCGAGAGCCGUAGAGAGAUUGGGUCUGAUCAUUUCUGAGUUAGAGUGUCCUCUCUGGGUCAGUGGACCCAAAUGUGACCCAUCAGUGGCAGUGUCAGUCUGUCGCUUCAGUCCAGUGUUCAUAGAGGGUAGAUGCCU
This 222-nucleotide long non-coding RNA is filed under the name Manihot esculenta (cassava). Its description in RNAcentral is "long non-coding RNA (MESC_LNC002042)". Lineage: Eukaryota; Viridiplantae; Streptophyta; Magnoliopsida; Malpighiales; Euphorbiaceae. The record is from RNAcentral.